Non-coding RNA from Malus domestica (apple), 1333 nucleotides. The record is from RefSeq and is a predicted model, not a curated record. NCBI's taxonomy places the organism in Eukaryota, Viridiplantae, Streptophyta, Magnoliopsida, Rosales, Rosaceae.
UCUACCUCGUGCCUGUCUGCCGUGCAGAAGAAACAAGCAGAGAAGAAUGCAGACUGCAUAAUCAAAUUAACCCAGCAGAAGGAGUCUGAAUUGAAACCAAGGAACUCUCCUAUUCUCUGCUCAGAAUUCCAAUCCAGUUCGAGGUCAAAGCUGUGGAAAGUCAACAAGAUCAUCUAUCUCCAUAACCAGAUUUACGUUCUUAAACUCUACUCUGUCUGAUUUUUACUUUACCAUACUUGUCAUGUUUAUUCGUAGUUUGUUUGUUUGCUUGUUUUGUGUGAGUUUAUGUUUGAAACAUUGAGGACAAUGUUUAAUUUAAGUGACGAGGUUCCAAUGACUAUCAUCGAUUGGAAGGAUAAGGUUCUUAGGAACAAGACCGUUCGGAUAGUGAAGGUUUUGAGGAGGAACCACUCAGUGGAGGAGGCUACUUGGGAAACAGAUGAUCAGAUGAGAGAGAUGUAUUCGAGAUUGUUUUAUGAUUAUUAGUGUUGUAUUUUGGUUGUGUAAAUUUCGGGGACGAAAUUUCUAUAAGGAGGGUAGGUUGUAACAGCCCGUCCCGUAUUAACGUUUUUAUAAGUGUGAAGUUUGUUUAAUUAUCCUAGUUUUUAAGAGUGGACGUUUUGUCUGUGUGUUUGUUUGAAAAUGACUUAUGGACUAUACACUCAGACACACUCAUUAUUCAUUAUUCCUUCCCGUGAUUCCCUCAAACACUCACACUCUCUCUCUCUUUCUACACUCACGGCAAAACAACAAGGAUCUUCAAAUCUUCACAGAUCGAAGAAACAAAGACCACCAUCGUCUUCAUCUCGUCGAUACAAAUUCAUCCAUACCCAUUUCAGGUAAGAACUUCAACGUUUUCACGUCGAACAACUUACCUCCGAGUUUGACACUAUUCAUCAACUUUGUAUUGGUUGAUUUUUAGGGGUUUUUAAGCUCAUAGGGAGCUUAAGGAGGUUCUUAGGAAGCUCGGAAUGCUUCGUUGGAAGUUUUUGGAAGUAAAAACACAGAGAUCGGAAAGUUCAAUGUUUGGUCGGAACUUUCGAGGCGUUUUCCGGCCAAACCACGGAGAGUUAGACGUCGUGCGAGUUUCCGGCGAGUCCGAUGGCUUUCGAGGCUUUUUCCGGUGAAUUCCCGGCGAGUUAAGGGUCGAGACAGGUGAAAAUUUUACGGACGAAGAACGUAACCAAAAUAGGCGAGGGGGUUACGAACCGGCUACUUAUCUGUGAGUGGGCAGUUUUGUUUUCCGUAUACAUAUAUACUAUUGAGUCUUCCCAGAAAUUGAAUUUAAAUGAAAGCAUGAUUUAAAAUGCCAUGGAUAGAAUUAUAUGAAAAG